Molecule: ribosomal RNA, 427 nt
Filed under: uncultured bacterium
Lineage: Bacteria
Description: bacterial SSU rRNA
Rfam family: Bacterial small subunit ribosomal RNA
Source: RNAcentral
UGGGGAAUUUUGGACAAUGGGCGCAAGCCUGAUCCAGCCAUGCCGCGUGCAGGAUGAAGGCCCUCGGGUUGUAAACUGCUUUUGUACGGAACGAAAAGCCUCUUUCUAAUAAAGAGGGGUGAUGACGGUACCGUAAGAAUAAGCACCGGCUAACUACGUGCCAGCAGCCGCGGUAAUCCGUAGGGUGCGAGCGUUAAUCGGAAUUACUGGGCGUAAAGCGUGCGCAGGCGGUCUUGCAAGACAGUGGUGAAAUCCCCGGGCUCAACCUGGGAACUGCCAUUGUGACUGCAAGGCUGGAGUACGGCAGAGGGGGAUUGAAUUCCGCGUGUAGCAGUGAAAUGCGUAGAUAUGCGGAGGAACACCGAUGGCGAAGGCAGUCCCCUGGGCCUGUACUGACGCUCAUGCACGAAAGCGUGGGGAGCAAACA